RNAcentral lists this ribosomal RNA (449 nucleotides) under uncultured bacterium. RNAcentral's name for it is "bacterial SSU rRNA". It matches the Rfam family "Bacterial small subunit ribosomal RNA", at positions 354 to 796 of the family's 1533-position model. The record is from RNAcentral.
GUGGGGAAUCUUGCGCAAUGGGCGAAAGCCUGACGCAGCGACGCCGCGUGAGUGAUGAAGGCCCUCGGGUUGUAAAGCUCUGUGGAGGGGGAAGAAUAAGGGUGACCUAAUACGUCAUCCGAUGACGGUACCCCUUUAGCAAGCACCGGCUAACUCUGUGCCAGCAGCCGCGGUAAGACAGAGGGUGCAAACGUUGUUCGGAAUUACUGGGCGUAAAGCGCGUGUAGGCGGCUUGGCAAGUCGGGUGUGAAAGCCCUGGGCUCAACCUAGGAAGUGCACUCGAAACUGCCUCGCUCGAGUAUCGGAGAGGAAAGCGGAAUUCUCGGUGUAGAGGUGAAAUUCGUAGAUAUCGAGAGGAACACCGGUGGCGAAGGCGGCUUUCUGGACGGUUACUGACGCUGAGACGCGAAAGCGUGGGGAGCAAACAGGAUUAGAAACCCGAGUAGUCC